CAGCAGCCACGGUAAAACGUAGGUGGCAAGCGUUGUCCGGAAUUAUUGGGCGUAAAGCGCGCGCAGGCGGAUAGGUCAGUCUGUCUUAAAAGUUCGGGGCUUAACCCCGUGAUGAGAUGGAAACUGCCAAUCUAGAGUAUCGGAGAGGAAAGUGGAAUUCCUAGUGUAGCGGUGAAAUGCGUAGAUAUUAGGAAGAACACCAGUGGCGAAGGCGACUUUCUGGACGAAAACUGACGCUGAGGCGCGAAAGCCAGGGGAGCGAACGGGAUUAGAUACCCCCGUAGUCCCUGUCUCUUAUACA
RNAcentral lists this ribosomal RNA (301 nucleotides) under uncultured bacterium. RNAcentral's name for it is "partial 16S ribosomal RNA". It matches the Rfam family "Bacterial small subunit ribosomal RNA", at positions 509 to 809 of the family's 1533-position model. The record is from RNAcentral.